UAGGGAAUCUUCCACAAUGGACGCAAGUCUGAUGGAGCAACGCCGCGUGAGUGAAGAAGGUUUUCGGAUCGUAAAGCUCUGUUGUUGGUGAAGAAGGAUAGAGGUAGUAACUGGCCUUUAUUUGACGGUAAUCAACCAGAAAGUCACGGCUAACUACGUGCCAGCAGCCGCGGUAAUACGUAGGUGGCAAGCGUUGUCCGGAUUUAUUGGGCGUAAAGCGAGCGCAGGCGGAAGAAUAAGUCUGAUGUGAAAGCCCUCGGCUUAACCGAGGAAUUGCAUCGGAAACUGUUUUCUUGAGUGCAGAAGAGGAGAGUAGAACUCCAUGUGUAGCGGUGGAAUGCGUAGAUAUAUGGAAGAAUACCAGUGGCGAAGGCGGCUCUCUGGUCUGCAACUGACGCUGAGGCUCGAAAGUAUGGGUAGCGAACAGGAUUAGAUACCCUGGUAGUCCAUGCCGUAAACGAUGAGUGCUAAGU
RNAcentral lists this ribosomal RNA (473 nucleotides) under uncultured bacterium. Its description in RNAcentral is "partial 16S ribosomal RNA". It matches the Rfam family "Bacterial small subunit ribosomal RNA", at positions 355 to 821 of the family's 1533-position model. The record is from RNAcentral.